This 89-nucleotide ribosomal RNA is filed under the name Escherichia coli 2-177-06_S4_C2. The record is from RNAcentral. Lineage: Bacteria; Pseudomonadati; Pseudomonadota; Gammaproteobacteria; Enterobacterales; Enterobacteriaceae.
GAUCCGCGUCGCCUGCUCGACCAGGCGUACGCUUAUGGGUGCCUUUCCGCAGCUUGGAACGCGGAUGGAGAAGAGGAGCAACGCGAUCU